Molecule: ribosomal RNA, 516 nt
Filed under: uncultured Planctomycetota bacterium
Lineage: Bacteria; Pseudomonadati; Planctomycetota
Description: bacterial SSU rRNA
Rfam family: Bacterial small subunit ribosomal RNA
Source: RNAcentral
GUAGUUACGUACCCCGAGGACCGGAAUAGCCACGGGAAACUGUGGGUAAUGCCGGAUAAUAUCUUCGGAUCAAAGGUGUGAUUCCGCCUUGGGAGCGGACUGCGUUGUACUAGCUAGUUGGUAGGGUAAUGGCCUACCAAGGCAAUGAUGCAUAGCGGGUGUGAGAGCAUGACCCGUCUCACUGGGACUGAGACACUGCCCAGACACCUACGGGUGGCUGCAGUCGAGAAUCUUCGGCAAUGGACGCAAGUCUGACCGAGCGACGCCGCGUGUGGGAUGAAGGCCUUCGGGUUGUAAACCACUGUCGUAGAGGAGGAAAUUGGCUGGGGUUCUCCCCAGUCAUUGACCUAUUCUAGGAGGAAGGACGGGCUAAGUUCGUGCCAGCAGCCGCGGUAAUACGAACCGUCCAAACGUUAUUCGGAAUUACUGGGCUUAAAGGGUACGUAGGCGGCGCUGUUAGUCGGGUGUGAAAGCCCACGGCUCAACCGUGGAAUUGCGCCCGAUACUGCAGUGCUU